GUCUUUAUGAAGCUGUAUAAAGUCUGGCCUGCCCACUGAAUUAUUGAAGGGCCGCGGUAUUUCUGACCGUGCGAAGGUAGCAUAAUCAAUAGUCUUUUAAUUGAAGGCUUGUAUGAAAGGUUGGACGAAAAACACACUGUUUCAAAUGAAACAUUUGAAUUUAACUUUUAGGUGAAAAGGCUUAAAUGAGUUAAAAAGACGAUAAGACCCUAUAAAUCUUGACAUUUAUUUUUAUGUUUUUCUGAUUUAUGGUGUAUUAAAAGUGAAUAUAAAAGGUGUGUUAUGUUGGGGCAACAAUAAUAUAGUAAUGUUAAUUAUUAGAGCAAUUAAACAAAGAUAUUUGUUAGAUUAAGAGGAUCCUUGUUAAAGAUUUAAAGAUUAAGUUACUUUAGGGAUAACAGCGUUAUUUUUUCUGAGAGUUCUUAUCGAAGAAAAAGAUUGCGACCUCGAUGUUGAAUUAAAAGAUCUUUUUAAUGUAGCAGUUAAAAUAGAAAGUCUGUUCGACUUUUAAAUUUUU
This 517-nucleotide ribosomal RNA is filed under the name Clibanarius corallinus. Its description in RNAcentral is "partial 16S ribosomal RNA". It matches the Rfam family "Bacterial large subunit ribosomal RNA", at positions 1819 to 2597 of the family's 2925-position model. The record is from RNAcentral. Lineage: Eukaryota; Metazoa; Arthropoda; Malacostraca; Decapoda; Diogenidae.